ACUUACAUCAACACUGAGAGAUCCCUGAAAAUGUUUUCUUUCAUAAAAACCUUGCUUGGAGAAAUCCAGACAUGCAACUUUAUUGGAUCCUGCCCUGCAGACCUGUGCAAUGUAUGUUUUCUCCUAGUUUAUGGCUUAAGGAAUGCGGGCUUGAGUAUGCUGACGGACACUGCUCAUUCAGAAGAUGGCAAGGUCAGAGGCCUCUCAGAGUCUGGUGACCUUGGAGAGCCUGAGUCCCGGAAGGCAGAGCUCAAAGAUAGAAGAGGGAUGCUUGAUUUGUCCUGAAUCAUGGUGUAAGUGAGAAAUAAUUGCUUGUCAUAUUAAGAUACUGAAAUCUGGAAGCUUAGUUGCUUCCAAAGCAUAGACUAGCCUCUAAUGAUUAAUGUGAGUAGUAAAUUAUGGAGUUAGCGAGAGUGGGUGAUUUGACGGGGAGGUAACGUCAGUAGACUUUUGGAGAUGAACAUAAAUGGAUGUGUGAGGAAGAGAAAGGGACUAUGGAUGACUCCACAGUUUCUGGACACAUGUUUAAGUGUAUGGUGGUAUUAGUCCCUGAGAUGAAGGAUCACUGGCUUUCUAAAGAUAAAUGAGAUGUGUUCACCUCAUUUCCAGAAGAAAUAUGGACCAAUGUAAAGGAAG
Molecule: long non-coding RNA, 636 nt
Filed under: Chinchilla lanigera (long-tailed chinchilla)
Lineage: Eukaryota; Metazoa; Chordata; Mammalia; Rodentia; Chinchillidae
Description: lncRNA (ENSCLAG00000027419.1)
Source: RNAcentral